Molecule: long non-coding RNA, 546 nt
Organism: Cyprinus carpio (common carp)
Lineage: Eukaryota; Metazoa; Chordata; Actinopteri; Cypriniformes; Cyprinidae
Exons: 3
Source: RefSeq, a predicted model, not a curated record
ACCUACAUUGCUUUAAGUGGGAAACUUUUGGCGUCAGUACUCAGACGCGAAGGGCAUGAGAUGUUUAUCGCUAUGAAAUCACGUUCAAGAAGUCUCAUUCAGCGCACAUCGCGAUAUUUGCCAUCAGUUUACAUGUGCCACAGGUUGGCUGAAAAGACAUGAAGGAAGCAGUCAGCCCAGUCGUGUUUGUGGAGAGGUAUUCCUUCAGAAAUGGAGAAGACAGAAAGCUGCGGAGGCACACAUUUGCAGCAGAUUGUUUGCAGAUAACGCUGUACUUCUCCAUCAUGCACAAGGACUCACCUCUUUAACUCUUUAUCCCCCACACACACAGAAAUGGUCCCUGGAUCAGUGUUUAGACUUUGCAGUGGUUUGAUUUUUGCAGAAAAUGCAACUUUGUUUUAGUUAUAAGCUUAUAAUGAAUACAUUUUGACCUUCCAGCAGCCCAUAUACUGUAUACAGAACCAGUGAUGAAAACAAUAGUUGAAAAUAGUAUUUUCGUAUUGAUAAAGCAUUGUGUUCUCUUUUUCAAGCUUCAUACAGUAAACU